AAAGAAAGAAAAAGAGAAGAAGAAAAAGAGAAGAAGAAGUUGGAGAAGAUGGAGAAGAAGAUCUAGAAGGAGAUCUUCAUCCUCUCCUUCAUCUUCCUUGAGCUUUGGAGCAAGCUUUUAGAGGUAAGCUCUAACCCUAAAAAUGGUAUUUCUAGGGUUUAGGGUUUUGGUUGCUUUUGAGUGGUUCAAAUGGAACCCGUUUGAGUUGGAGAAGAUGGUUCUAGCUCCCAUUGAAGCUUUGAACCAUGGAUUGCACCAUUGAUGCAACCUAGGGUUAGAGUUUGGGUUUUGAACCCUAGAUCUUGAUUUUGAUCUCCCUACAAGUUUUAGAACCUUGUAAAAACCAAGAACACAUGAAAUCCAUGUUGUUCUUCGUAGUGCUCUAAUGGUGGAAUCCUAGGGUUUGUUCUAAAUGCCCUAGGGAUGAUUCUAAUGAGAUAGAAACGAGUUUAGAGAACUUCUUGGGUGAUUCUAAGCUCGAUUAUGCUUAGCUAUGAGAUCAAUCCCAAGAGAUUUGAUCUUGGUGUUGUUAGGGCACCGAAAUUGGGGCUUUUGCCUCCGGGUGUUUCUAAGGCAAAUUGGCCUUGUAGAAACCUAAUUGGGGACCUAACGAACGCGUUGGUGCGCUCGGUUCGACAAUCCGACGAGCGUACGCGAAGUUAUUGACGAAACGGUCGGUUUUGGUACAGAUAGCCGCAGCACGCGGAAUAAAGGUCUAAAAAUCAUGAGAUCGGAACUGGAGCACCUUGGAGUCAAGGAAUAAACUCCGGAAAAGACGGAUCGCGAUUCGGAGGUCGUUCGCUAAGUCGUGCAAGAGUUCGGGCCAAACCGGGCAACGGUUGCCGCGGGAGGCCGAUUGCAAGUGACUACAAGCAAUCGGAGCGCGAGUUAAGGUGGGUUGGUUUACCGAAGCGACUAGGUCGCCUUUAUGUCUAAUUAUUAGACUUUCAUGUUGAUGCAUGCUAAUAAAUGUAUAGUUGAUGCAUGAGAUAAAAUGCCAAAUAGUGAGCAUGUAAAAGUAAAGUUGUAUGCAUGUUGGUAAUGUGAUGCAAAUGCUAAAUGGAAUGCAUUAUGAGCAUGUUGAAAUAAGCUAGAUAAUUAUAUGAUUUCGUGUAAGCAUAAGGCAUAAAAUGAAAUGCAUAUUGAUGACAUAAGUUAAGAUGAGAUAUAGAAUGCAUGAUGAAUAAGUUAUAUAAUGCUACAUGAUUACAGGAAUGCAUGUGAGCAUAAUGGAUAGAAUGCAUGUUGACAUUGUGAGAUUAAAUGUGCAUGAAAAUCUAGGUUGAGAACCCUAGAGUGAUUAAAGAAAAUGAUGCUAUGCUAAAGAAUUAAAUAACAAGCAUGAUAUGAAAAUAGUAAAUGCAAGUGCAUGUUAAGAAUGCUAAGUAAGGAACAUAUAUAGGUGGACAUGAAUAAACCUAUAGAUCGAGUGGCAUUAACCUAGUGUCGAGAACAUAGGUUAAAUAAGAGUGAUGUUAAACCUAAUGUAAAGAACAUAGGUUGUGAAAUGAAAGCUGCUUAACCUAGAGUCAAGUAAACCUAGGUUGGAAAAGAAUGAUGGUCCUAGUGUACUAAACCUAGGUUAAGAAUGUGAAAGCAAUAAACCUAAAGCAAUAACUUAGGUUGUGUAAGAGACAUUGAACCUAGAGUCAAUUGGACCUAGGAGAUAAAGACUUAGACCUAGAGAGGUCAGUUCCAUAGGGUUAAGGCCAACCCUUGGUUAAUGUGAUAUGGAUUCCGGAAUCCCGAUGCUUGCUGAUACACCCAAAGUGGUGUCGGGUGUGUGUGCGACGAUUUCGCCGCCCAGGGGCUAGAAAACUAUUGUCGUGGCGUGUGUGCGACGAUUUCGCCGCCGGAUGGUUAGCCAGUUUGUGGAUCCUACCGCCUGUUGACUGAACCACUGUCGUGGCGUGUGUGCGACGAUUUCGCCGCCGAGUGACUAAGUCAUUGAACCUACGCCGUUGUUGGGUGAGAUGCGAUUCGUUCGCCGCCAGACGGCUAGGACAGGAGUACGGUGAGCUGUUGCCAGCUGAGGUGCAUGUGAGAGUUCCUUCACCUCGAGCUAGACAGUGCGCGGAUUAUCCGCGAUUGAUUGACUCAAGACCGAGUCGGGUUGCUUUGUUGACUAAGGUAAAGUGACCUUAGAGUAGAAUGCCAAAAGCUAAGAUAUAGCAUGGUUCGAGAAUGUUAAGAGUAAAGAGUGGCUAAAGAAUAAUGAAUAGCUAAAGAAAGGAAUAGCUAAGAGCUAAAAGUAAGCAUCAAAUGGCAAAGAGUAAAGAAUGAUUAAGAACAUAAGUAGUGUUAAAGCAACCUACUUGCAUGAUUCUAGAUAUUGCAUAUUGCAUUUCGUGAGGCAUGACAUGUAUUUCAUUUGAAUAUAUAUCUGUUGUAUAUUAUUGAUCUAACAUGUUGCAGUGCCUCGUUAGACCUGUUGGCUGAGCUUGUUCUCUUGGGUGGCUAAACCCACUGAGGACUAUGGACAAUAGUCUCACCCCCGUGUUGCUGUUUUGGGGGUACAGGUACACACGUGUGCGGCGCGGCGGCGCAAGGCGAGGACGUAGUUCUGCAGAUAGCGUCCUACCCAGAGACUGAGAUAGCAGUACCCGAGUUGGUGGUCUAGCUUGGGAGGUUUAAAGACAAGAACAAACUUUUGUUUAAGUUGUAAAAGAAUUUGUAAUAAUUAUGGUUGUAUUUGGAGGUUAAUUGUAAAAGAAAAAUUAUGUUGUAAAAUGCAUCUAAGUUGAAUGCUGUAAUAACUUAGUAGUUUAUGUUUUCGAUACUUCCUUAUGCAAUCUGUGAAUGAAUACUGUUCCUGGUUGGAACCUCUCGUAUUGUUUUGAUUGCGACGCCUAGGACGUACAGGGGAAACUCUGUCCGUUCGGUGGUCUGUCGGCGGC
Molecule: long non-coding RNA, 2897 nt
Filed under: Ananas comosus (pineapple)
Lineage: Eukaryota; Viridiplantae; Streptophyta; Magnoliopsida; Poales; Bromeliaceae
Description: long non-coding RNA (ACOM_LNC037581)
Source: RNAcentral